CACGUAGUUAGCCGGUGCUUAUUCUUACGGUACCGUCAUCAGUCCUCUUUAUUAAAAAAGAACCUUUUCGUUCCGUACAAAAGCAGUUUACAACCCGAAGACCUUCUUCCUGCACGCGGCAUUGCUGGAUCAGGCUUUCGCCCAUUGUCCAAAAUUCCCCACUGCUGCCUCCCGUAGGAGUCUGGGCCGUGUCUCAGUCCCAGUGUGGCUGGUCGUCCUCUCAGACCAGCUACAGAUCGUCGACUUGGUAAGCCUUUACCCCACCAACUAUCUAAUCUGACAUCGGCGCUCCAAUCGCGCGAGGCCCGAAGGUCCCCCCGCUUUCACCCUUAGGUCGUAUGCGGUAUUAGCUGCCUCUUUCGAGCAGUUACUCCCCCACGACUGGGCCACGUUCCGAUGCUUUACUCCACCCGUUCGCCACUCGUCAGCACUCCGAACGACCUGUUACCGUUCGACUUGCAUGUGUAAGGCUAGUGUCCGCCAGCGUUCAACGUCUAGAGCCGAGGACUACAAACGUCU
RNAcentral lists this ribosomal RNA (519 nucleotides) under uncultured Comamonadaceae bacterium. RNAcentral's name for it is "partial 16S ribosomal RNA". The record is from RNAcentral. Lineage: Bacteria; Pseudomonadati; Pseudomonadota; Betaproteobacteria; Burkholderiales; Comamonadaceae.